ACUCAUGGAUUUCCGUGUCCAACGUUUGACCGUUCAUCUUAUUUAAAAAAAUGUGAAAAAAAUUAAAAAAGACAAGUCACACAUAAAGUAUUAAUCAUGUUUUAUCAUCUAACAACAAUGAAAAUACUAAUUAUAAAAAUAAAUCAUAUAAAACGGAGAGUCAAACGUUGGACACGGAAACCCAGGUUUUUUUUUUUG
RNAcentral lists this microRNA precursor (198 nucleotides) under Oryza sativa Japonica Group (Japanese rice). RNAcentral's name for it is "MIR812 microRNA precursor family". It matches the Rfam family "MIR812 microRNA precursor family". Lineage: Eukaryota; Viridiplantae; Streptophyta; Magnoliopsida; Poales; Poaceae. The record is from Rfam by way of RNAcentral.